Molecule: ribosomal RNA, 111 nt
Filed under: uncultured bacterium
Lineage: Bacteria
Description: partial 16S ribosomal RNA
Rfam family: Bacterial small subunit ribosomal RNA
Source: RNAcentral
CGGGCCUUGUACACACCGCCCGUCACACCACGAAAGUCGGCAAUACCCGAAGCCGGUGAGCUAACCCCUCGGGGAGGCAGCCGUCGAAGGUAGGGUUGAUGAUUUGGGGUG